Molecule: ribosomal RNA, 253 nt
Filed under: uncultured bacterium
Lineage: Bacteria
Description: partial 16S ribosomal RNA
Rfam family: Bacterial small subunit ribosomal RNA
Source: RNAcentral
UACGUAGGGUGCAAGCGUUAAUCUGAAUUACUGGGCGUAAAGCGUGCGCAGGCGGCUUUGCAAGACAGAUGUGAAAUCCCCGGGCUUAACCUGGGAACUGCAUUUGUGACUGCAUGGCUGGAGUGCGGCAGAGGGGGAUGGAAUUCCGCGUGUAGCAGUGAAAUGCGUAGAUAUGCGGAGGAACACCGAUGGCGAAGGCAAUCCCCUGGGCCUGCACUGACGCUCAUGCACGAAAGCGUGGGGAGCAAACAGG